UGGGGAGUCGCCAAGUGGUAAGGCAUCGGAUUUUGAUUCCGACAUUCGCAGGUUCGAUCCCUGCCUCCCCAGCCA
RNAcentral lists this transfer RNA (75 nucleotides) under Thiobacillus sp. RNAcentral describes it as "tRNA-Gln". It matches the Rfam family "tRNA". From Rfam's summary of the family: Transfer RNA (tRNA) molecules are approximately 80 nucleotides in length. RNAcentral also lists the same sequence under 10 other names. The record is from RNAcentral. Lineage: Bacteria; Pseudomonadati; Pseudomonadota; Betaproteobacteria; Nitrosomonadales; Thiobacillaceae.